Molecule: ribosomal RNA, 480 nt
Filed under: uncultured bacterium
Lineage: Bacteria
Description: partial 16S ribosomal RNA
Rfam family: Bacterial small subunit ribosomal RNA
Source: RNAcentral
GAUGAACGCUAGCGGCAGGCCUAACACAUGCAAGUCGAGGGGGAAGUUACUUUCGGGUGACUGAGACCGGCGUACGGGUGCGUAACGCGUAUACAAUCUGCCUUUCACUGGGGGAUAGCCCGAAGAAAUUUGGAUUAAUACCCCAUAGUAUAUAGGGACGGCAUCGUUUUUAUAUUAAAGCUUAGGUGGUGAAAGAUGAGUAUGCGUUCUAUUAGCUAGUUGGAGAGGUAACGGCUCCCCAAGGCGAUGAUAGAUAGGGGUUCUGAGAGGGAUGUCCCCCACACUGGUACUGGGAUACGGACCAGACUCCUACGGGAGGCAGCAGUGAGGAAUAUUGGACAAUGGUCGGAAGACUGAUCCAGCCAUGCCGCGUGCAGGAUGAAGGUCUUAUGGAUUGUAAACUGCUUUUGUAAGGGAAGAAUAAGGGCUACGCGUAGUUUGAUGACGGUACCUUACGAAUAAGCAUCGGCUAACUCCGUG